AGAUUGAACGCUGGCGGCAUGCCUUACACAUGCAAGUCGAACGGCAGCACGGGAGCAAUCCUGGUGGCGAGUGGCGAACGGGUGAGUAAUACAUCGGAACGUGCCCAAUCGUGGGGGAUAACGCAGCGAAAGCUGUGCUAAUACCGCAUAAGAUCUACGGAUGAAAGCAGGGGAUCGCAAGACCUUGCGCGAAUGGAGCGGCCGAUGGCAGAUUAGGUAGUUGGUGAGGUAAAGGCUCACCAAGCCUUCGAUCUGUAGCUGGUCUGAGAGGACGACCAGCCACACUGGGACUGAGACACGGCCCAGACUCCUACGGGAGGCAGCAGUGGGGAAUUUUGGACAAUGGGCGAAAGCCUGAUCCAGCCAUGCCGCGUGCAGGAUGAAGGCCUUCGGUUGUAAACUGCUUUUGUACGGAACGAAAGUCCUUACUAAUAAGAGGACAUGACGUACGUAAGAAUAAGCACGCUAACACGUAA
This 476-nucleotide ribosomal RNA is filed under the name uncultured soil bacterium. Its description in RNAcentral is "bacterial SSU rRNA". It matches the Rfam family "Bacterial small subunit ribosomal RNA", at positions 26 to 508 of the family's 1533-position model. The record is from RNAcentral.